Non-coding RNA from Tauraco erythrolophus (red-crested turaco), 567 nucleotides. The record is from the annotation of a RefSeq genome assembly. NCBI's taxonomy places the organism in Eukaryota, Metazoa, Chordata, Aves, Musophagiformes, Musophagidae.
AUGGGGCACUGGCUGACCCUCGUCUUCUCCUCUCUCUCAUCUCCCUCUCCAGGUUCCCUGGUCCAGGCAGUGCUGACUCAGCCGUCCUCAGUGUCAGCAAACCUGGGACAAACUGUCCAGAUCACCUGCUCUGGGGUUAGCAGCUACAGCAGUGAAGCUGUUGGCUGGUUCCAGCAGAAGACACCUGGCAGUGCCCCUGUCACUGUGAUCUACUACAACGACAAGAGACCCUCGGACAUCCCUUCGCGAUUCUCCGGAUCCAAGUCCGGCACCACGGGCACAUUAACCAUCACUGGGGUCCAAGCCGAGGACGAGGCUGUCUAUUACUGUGGUGGCAGUGACAGCAGCGGUGCUGGUGUGGUCGAGGCAUCCCGCAGGGUGACCAUUUGUGACUGCGGGUGCUGUGGGAUGCUGAUGUUGAGGUUUGGGCACUGCAGCUUCCAGGUGUCGUUUUGCAGGUGGUGGUGCACCAGGCACCCUUGGCGUCAGGGAUCCCUGGGUGGGACCAACAUGCUGUUCUGCACCUUGAACAUGAGGCCAUCACCACCAGCAAUAACUCAGGUGUGA